UUUUAAUAGCUCCUUUUUCUUAUAUUUAUAGAGAUAGUCUGGAAAGCAUACCUAAAAGUCAUGGUCUCAGUUCCAGAAAGGAGCUGAAAGAGUAUCAUGUGUCCACAUAAGUAUUAUAGGCCCAAACUAACAUGAACACUGGCCGAUACAAUGUAAGUAGUUAAUCCAGAACUGUGUCAUUUUUUAGGGUUUUCUGAGCAGCACAGUUGAGUGGUUAAAAACACUGAAUCUGGAGCCAGACCACCAGUGUCAGAACCCAGCUCCACCAGCAGUAGGACCUUUGAUUAGGAAUUAAUGCUUGCUGCCCUGAUCAUCUGUUAAACUAUGGCAAGGUCAGUCACAUUCAAAGGAGUCCUGCAUUUCACUGGGUCACAUGAAAUUCAUGGCAGAAAAGGAAAGAGAAGUUUCAAAAAAGAAAGGAAGUUGGACCCGUAUUUUAAAGCACUAAGACACCGUGGGCCUUGUCAAGAUGGAGUAACAGAAGGUCCCUCCUGCACAAAAGGACCUUCGUCUGUGUUAUGGAUCUCAGCAGCACUGCCCAAGUGCUCUCUCCAAGAGGACACCUGCCACGGGGACAGAAUGACACACUUACCCAAAGGAUCCCACCAGGCCACCCUAUCCAUCCUCCACAACCUAUAAGCGGCCACCCCGGACCCCACCUGUGUCCCACCUGCACCUGCAGCCAGCUCACAGCAUAUCUGCUGUUCGCUCUACUCCACACUGCAGAUCCUACAGAUGGACAAUAGUGGGUGUGCAAGUUUUUUGGUUUUUUUUUUAAGAUUUUAUUUAUUUAUUUAUUCAUGAGAGACACACAGAGAGAGAGAGAGGCAGAGACACAGGCAGA
This is a long non-coding RNA of Canis lupus familiaris (dog), 844 nucleotides long. RefSeq lists it as uncharacterized. The record is from RefSeq and is a predicted model, not a curated record. NCBI's taxonomy places the organism in Eukaryota, Metazoa, Chordata, Mammalia, Carnivora, Canidae. The transcript is spliced from 3 exons.